This is a long non-coding RNA of Carassius carassius (crucian carp), 945 nucleotides long. RefSeq lists it as uncharacterized. The record is from RefSeq and is a predicted model, not a curated record. NCBI's taxonomy places the organism in Eukaryota, Metazoa, Chordata, Actinopteri, Cypriniformes, Cyprinidae. The transcript has 4 exons.
AGUAAUACAUAAUGACUUUCAAAAGCGGGGGUAAUUACCUUUAUUUGUUAGAAUAUGUAUAUUUUAACUAAUUGCAAAAGCUAAAUAAUCAAUAAAUGUCUAACCAUGAAAUGUCGACCGAGUUUGGAGACACCUGGCUCAGCACAGUGAAAGUAUUUGAAGCUUUGUUUAUGAACAUGGCGGUGUGGUCAUACAAUGACUUUAAACCGGACACUACUCUGAGCUGUUCACAUUAUACAAAUGCUCCAGAUAUGUAAUCAGGUUCACCCUUUUGGAAUGGUAAACAUGACACUAUUCAUCACUCACACAAAUAAAUCAUUUAAUAUUUUGAUAAUUGAAUAGAUUUUUGCUGUUAAACUUUUUUUUUUUUUUUGUAACACAUUGCACUUCAUGUGUUUACAGAUUUGUGCAGAAUUUCAGACAUACAGAAUUACCAUAGGCCCAUUAGAAUCAACAAUCUUUGCCAAACUGGAUCCGCACUACAAAACUUAUGAAGAUGUUUGCAUACUGAAGAAGAGUCCUUGGACAAAUAAUGAAACCCUCUUGGUGCCCACUACACAGGCAGGGGUGUCCAGACCUGCUCUAGGAAAGCCAGUGUUCUGUGGAGUAUGGCUCUAACACACCUGUCUGGAACUUCUAACCAAUGAAAUUGAAGUAUCCAAAUGAAGACCCUAGCAGUAUGGAGUAUAUGGAUACAGACGUUGGCAGCAAUCAGGAGGUGAUCCAGAAGAUUUGUGGGAAUCUAUUUGAAGGUGCAUCAUUGAAGACAGUCCAGCAGAAGUUGGAGUUUUAAAGGAUAAAGUUCUUCAGGACCUAGCAGUUUACAGUCUGCAAAACUAUGUUUCUGGGACUGAUAUAUGGACUGAACUUGAGCAACCCUCCUGAACUCAGGUACACAUUUGGAAUACUGAAGAAGUUAUUUCUGGAGCCAGUUCCUGUUCCUGG